AAGAGGGCUGCUGGUGCACCAGUUCUUGUGUGCCCGCACCUGUGAGCUUUGGGAUGCAGGUGCGAGCCCCAAGUGCGAUAGUUGAACCGCAGAAGCAGUUCUGGAGCAUUUGGCCAUGGACUGCAAGUGCGGAUUUUUGUGUGCACCGGCGAAUGCACAGGUGUGAUGAGGAAGGGCGCAGGAGCGGACCCAGCCGCAGAAGCAGUACGCUUGCCGCAGAAGCGGGACCGCAGAAGCAGGAUCCCAUCCUCAGAAACGGCCCUUACUGGGCUUGAAGACCUCCGCAGAAGUGGACUACGCACCGCAAAUGCGGCCAAGGCACCGUAGGUGCGAUAAUAGCUGGAGGAAGACCCCAAUUUAAUGCGGGACUUAGUCAUUUGUAGCUCAUUUAUUUCAUUGUUUGGGUGAUUCUUGGAGCUCUUAGAGAGGGGAUUUCACCUAGCACUUUGAGGUAAGUAAUUUUUACACAAUGUGAGUUAAAUACAUAGUUUAUGGGUAGAUUAUAACAUGUUAAUUGGUGAAAUCAAGGGUUUAGAUGAAUAUGGUACACAAAUCCCUAGGUGUAUUUUCCAAUAUAGGGUACACCACUCCCUGGUUGAUGAUAUUUUGGAUAUAGGGUCACCACACCCUAGUCUCCUCACCAAUAUUGGGUAGACCAAUCCCUAUAUGUAUUUUCCAACAUAGGGUACACCACUCUCUAGUUGAUGAUAUUAAAGACAUUGGGUCACCAACUCCCUAGUCCCCUUGACAGUAUAGGGUACACCAAUACCUAGGCAUAGUUUCUAAUAUAGGGUACACCACUCCCUAGUUGAUGAUAUUUUGGACAUAGGGUACACCACUCCCUAGUCUCCUUACCUGUAUAAGGUACACAAAUCACUAUCUGUGUUUUCAAACAUAGGGUACACCACUCCCUAGUUGAUGAUAUUUUUGACAUAGGGUACCCUACACCCUAGACUCCUUACCAAUAUUAGGUAGACCAAUCCCUAACUGUGUUUUCCAAUAUCGAGGACACCAGACCCUAGUUGAUGAUAUUUUACACAUAGGGUCACCAACUCCCUAGUCUUGUUACUAGUAUAGGGUACACAAUCCCUACCUGUGUUUUCCAUCAUAUGGUUCCCCACUCCUUAGUAGAUGAAAGUUUAGACACAGCACACCACUCCGUAGUCUCUUUACCUGUAUAGGGUACACCAAUCCCUAGCUUUGUUUUCCAACAUAGGGUAUACCAUUCCCUAGUUAAUGAUAUUUUAGACAUAGGGUACACCACUCCCUAGCCUCCUUACCAACAUAGGGUACACAAAUCCCUAGCUUUGUUUUCCAACAUAUGGUAUAUCACUCCCUAGUUGAUGAUAUUUCAGACAUAUGGUACACCACUCCCUAAUUUCCUUAAUAGUAUAGGGUACACCAAAAUCCUAGAAGGAUUCCCUAACAAAGUGUACACCACUCCCUAGUUGGUGAUAUUUUAGACAUAGAAUGCAUCGCUCACUAGUCUCUUUACCAGUAUAGGGUACUCCAAUCCCUAGUUGUGUUUUGCAACAUAGGGUACACCACCCCCUAGUUGAUGAUAUUUUAGAUAUAGGGUCACCACUCCAUGCUCCCCUUACCAGUAUAGGAUACACCAAUCCCUAGGUGUGUUUUCCAACAUAGGGUAAACCAUUCCUUAGUUGAUGAUAUUUUAGAUGAAGGGUCACCACUCCCUAGUCUCCUUACAAGUAUAGGGUACAUCAAUCCCUAGCUUUGUUUUCCAACAUAGGGUACACCACUCCCUAGUCAAUGAUAUUUUAUACAUAUGGUACAACACUCCCUAGCCUCCUUACUAGUAUAGGGUACACCAAUCCCUAGUUGUGUUUUCCAACAUAGGGUACACCACUCCAUAGUUGAUGAUAUUAUAGACAUAGGGUACACCACUCCCUACUCUCCUUACCAGUAUAAGGUACAUCAAUCCCUAGUUGUGUUUUCCAACAUAGGAUAUACCACUCCCUAGUUGAUGAUAUUUUAUACAUAGGGUACACCACUCCCUAGUCUCCUUAUGAGUAUAAGGUACACCAAUCAAUAGCUGUGUUUCCCAAUGUAGGGUACACCACUCCUUAGUUGAUGAUAUUUUAGAUAUAGGGUCACCAGUCCCUGGUCUCGUUACCUGUAUAGGGUACACUAAUCCCUAGCUGUUCUUUCCAACCUAGGGUACACCACUCCCUAGUUGAUGUUGUUUUAGACAUAGGGUACACCACUCCCUAUUCUUCUUACUAGUAUAGGGUACACGAUCGUUAGUUGUAUUUUCCAUCAUAGGCUACCCCAGUCCUUAGUUGGUGAUAUUAUAGAUAUAGGGUGCACCACUCCCUAGUAUCCUUACCAGUAUAAGGUACACCAAUCCCUAUAUGUGUUUUCCAGUUAUGGGUUCCCCACUCCAUAGUUGAUGAAAUUUCUGACAUAGGUUACACCAUUCCCUAGUCUCCCUACCUGUAUAGGGUACACGAAUCCCUAGGUGUAUUUUCCAAUAUAGGGUACACCACUCCCUAGUUGAUGAUAUUAUAGACAAAGGGUCACCAACACUCUAGGCUGCUUACCAUUUUAGGGUACACAAUCCCUAGCUGUGUUUUCCAUCAUAUGGUUCCCCACUUCCUAGUUGAUGAUAUUUUAUAUAUAGGGUGAACAAGUCCCUAGUCUCAUUACCAGUAUAGAGUACACUAAUCCCUAGCUGUGUUUUUCAAUAUAGGGUUCCCCACUCCCUAGUUGAUGAAAGUUUAGACAUAGGGUACAACACUUCCUAGUCUCCUUACUUGUAUAGGGCACACAAAUCCCUAGCUUUGUUUUCCAACAUAAGGUACACCACUCCAUUGUUAAUAAUAUUUUAGACAUAGGGUACACCACUCCCUAGCCUCCUUACCAGUAUAGGGUACACCAAUCCCUAGCUGUGGUUUCCAACAUAGGGUACACCAUUCUCUAGCCUCCUUACCAGUAUAGGGUACACCAAUCCCUAGCUAUGUUUUCCAACAUAGGGUACACCACUCCCUAACCUCCUUACCAGUAUAGGGUACACCAAUCCCUAGCUGUGUUUUCUAACCUAUGGUAUACGACUCCCUAGUUGAUGAUAUUUUAGACAUAUGGUACACCACUUCCUAGUUUCCUUACCAGUAUAGGGUACACCGAAAUCCUAGAUGUGUUUCCCAACAUAUUGUGCACCACUCCCUAGUUGAUGAUAUAUUAGACAUAGGGUGCGUCCCUCCCUAGUCGCCUUACUAGUAUAGGAUACACCGAAACCCUAGCUGUAUUUUGCAACAUAUGGUACACCACUCCCUAAUUGAUGAUAUUUUAAAUAUAGGGUCACCACUCCAUACUCCCCUUACCAGUAUAGGAUACGCCAAUCCCUAGCCGUGUUUUCCAACAUAGGGUACACCACUCCUUAGUUGAUGAUAUCUUAGACNNNNNNNNNNNNNNNNNNNNNNNNNGAAGGGUCACCGCUUCCUAGUCUCCUUACAAGUAUAGGGUACACCAAUCCCUAACUUUGUUUUCCAACAUAGGGUACACCACUCCCUAGUUAAUGAUAUUUUAGAUAUAGGGUGCAUCACUCUCUAGCCCCCUUACUAGUAUAGAUUACACUAGUUCCUAGUUGUGUUUUCAAAAAUAGGGUAUACCACUCCCUGGUUGAUGAUAUUUUAGACAUAUGGUACACCCCUCCCUAGUAUCCUUACCAAUAUAGGGUACACCAAAAUCGUAGAUGUGUUUCCCAACAUAGUGUAUACCACUCCCUAGCUGAUGAUAUUUUAGAUAUAGGGUGCAUCAAUCCCUAGUCUCCUUACCAGUAUAGGGUACAUCAAUCCCUAGAUAUGUUUUGCAACAUAGGGUACACUACUUCCUAGUUGAUGAUAUUUUAGAUAUAGGAUCACCACUCCAUACUCCCCUUACAAGUAUAGGAUACACCAAUCCCUAGCUGUGUUUUCCAACAUAGGGUACACCACUCCUUAGUUGAUGAUAUUUUAGACGAAGGGUCACCACUCUAUAGUCUCCUUACCUGUAUAGGGUACACGAAUCCUUAUCUGUGUUUUCCAACAUAGGAUACACCACUCCCUAGUUGAUGAUAUUUUUGACAUAGGGUACACCACACCCUAGUCUCUUUACUAGUAUAGGGUACACCAAUCCUUAGGUGUAUUUUCCAACAUUGGAUUCACCCCUCCCUAGUUGAUGAUAUUAUAGACAUAGGGUAUAGGGUACACCAAUCCCUAGGUGUAUUUUCCAACAUAGGGUACACCACUCCCUUGUUGAUGAUAUUUUGGACAUAGGGUCACCACUCCCUAGUAUCCUUACCAAUAUUGGGUAGACCAUUCCCUAGCUGUGUUUUCCAACUACGGGUACACCACUCCCUAGUUGAUGAUAUUUUAGACAUAGGGUGACCAACUCCCUAGUCUCCUUACCAGUAUAGGGUACACAAUCCCUAGCUGUGUUUUCCAUCAUAUGGUUCCCCACUCCCUAGUUGAUGAUAUUUUAGAUAUAGGGUGCACCAUUCCCUAGUCUCGUUAGUAGUAUAGGGUAGACCAAUCCCUAGCUGUGUUUUCUAAUAUAGGGUUUCCCACUCCCUAGUUGACGAAAGUUUAGACAUACGGCAUGCCACUCCCUAGUGUCCUUACCUGUANNNNNNNNNNNNNGAUAUCUUAGACGAAGGGUCACCACUCCCUAGUCUCCUUACAAGUAUAGGGUACACCAAUCCCUAACUUUAUUUUCCAACAUAGGGCACACCAAUCCCUAGCCUCCUUACCAGUAUAGAUUACACCAAUUCGUAGUUGUGUUUUCCAAAAUAGGGUAUACCACUCCCUGGUUGAUGAUAUUUUAGACAUAUGGUACACCACUCCCUAAUAUCCUUACCAAUAUAGGAUACACCAAAAUCGUAGAUGUGUUUCCCAACAUAGUGUAUACCACUCCCUAGUUGAUGAUAUUUUAGACAAAGGGUGCAUCAUUCCCUAGUCUCCUUACCAGUAGAGGUUACACCAAUCCCUAGAUGUGUUUUGCAACAUAGGGUACACUACUCCCUAGUUGGUGAUAGUUUAGAUAUAGGAUCACCACUCCAUACUCCCCUUACAAGUAUAGGAUACACUAAUCCCUAGCUGUGUUUUCCAACAUAAGGUACACCACUCCUUAGUUGAUGAUAUUUUAGACGAAGGGUCACCACUCCAUAGUCUCCUUACCUGUAUAGGGUACAUGAAUCCCUAUCUGUGUUUUCCAACAUAGCGUACACCACUCCCUAGUUGGUGAUAUUUUUGACAAAGGGUACACCACACCCUAGUCUCUUUACUAUUAUAGGGUACACCAAUCCCUAGGUGUAUUUUCCAACAUAAGGUACACCACUCCCUAGUUGAUGAUAUUAUAGACAUAGGGUAUAGGGUACACCAAUCCCUAGGUGUAUUUUCCAACAUAGGGUACACCACUCCCUUGUUGAUGAUAUUUUGGACAUAGGGUCACCACUCCCUAGUAUCCUUACCAAUAUUGGGUAGACCAUUCCCUAGCUGUGUUUUCCAACUUCGGGUAUACCACUCCCUAGUUGAUGCUAUUUUAGACAUAGGGUGACCAACUCCCGAGUCUCCUUACUAGUAUAGGGUACACAAUACCUAGCUGUGUUUUCCAUCAUAUGGUUCCCCACUCCCUAGUUGAUGAUAUUUUAGAUAUAGGGUGCACCACUCCCUAGUCUUGUUACCAGUAUAGGGUAGACCAAUCCCUAGCUGUGUUUUCCAAUAUAGGGUUCCCCACUCCCUAGUUGACGAAAGUUUAGACAUAGGGUACACCACUCCCUAGUGUCCUUACCUGUAUAGGGUCCACCAAUCCUUAGCUUUGUUUUCCAACAUAGGGUACACCACUCCCUAGUUAAUCAAAUUUUAGACAUAGGGUACAACACUCCCUAGCCUCCUUACCAGUAUAGGGUACACCAAUCCCUAGCUGUGUUUUCUAACCUAUGGUAUAUGACUCCCUAGUUGAUGAUAUUUUAGACAUAUGGUACACCACUUCCUAGUUUCCUUACCAGUAUAGGGUACACCGAAAUCCUAGAUGUGUUUCCCAACAUAUUGUGCACCACUCCCUAGUUGAUGAUAUAUUAGAUAUAGGGUGCAUCCCUCCCUAGUCUCCUUACUAGUAUAGGGUACACCAAUCCCUAGGUGUGUUUUGCAACAUAGGGUACACCACUCCCUAAUUGAUGAUAUUUUAAACAUAGGGUCACCACUCCAUACUCCCCUUACCAGUAUAGGAUACACGAAUCCCUAGCCGUGUUUCCCAAUAUAGGGUUCCCCACUUCCUAGUUGAUGAAAGUUUAGACGAAGGGUCACCACUCCCUAGUCUCCUUACAAGUAUAGGAUACACCAAUCCCUAACUUUGUUUUCCAACAUAGGGCACCCCACUCCCUUGUUAAUGAUAUUUUAGAUAUAGGGUACACCACUUCCUAACCUCCUUACCAGUAUAGGUUACACCAAUUCCUAGUUGUGUUUUCCAAAAUAGGGUAUACCACUCCCUGGUUGAUGAUAUUUUAAACAUAUGGUACACAACUCCCAGGUAUCCUUACCAAUAUAGGGUACACCAAAAUCGUAGAUGUGUUUUCCAACAUAGUGUAUACCACUCCCUAGUUGAUGAUAUUUUAGACAUAGGGUGCAUCAAUCCCUAGUCUCCUUACCAGUAUAGAGUACACCAAUCCCUAGAUAUGUUUUGCAACAUAGGGUACACUACUGCCUAGUUGAUGAUAUUUUAGAUAUAGGAUCACCACUCCAUACUCCUCUUACAAGUAUAGGAUACACCAAUCCCAAGCUGUGUUUUCCAACAUAGGGUACACCAUUCCUUAGUUGAUGAUAUUUUAGACGAAGGGUCACCACUCCAUAGUCUCCUUACCUGUAUAGGGUACACGAAUCCCUAUUUGUGUUUUCCAAUAUAGGGUACACCACUCCCUAGUUGAUGAUAUUUUUGACAUAGGGUACACCACACCCUAGUCUCUUUACUAGUAUAGGGUACACCAAUCCCUAGAUGUGUUUUUCAACCUAGUGCACACCACUCCCUAAUUGAUGAUAUUAUUGACAUAGGGUCACCACUCCCUAGUCUCCUUACCUGUAUAGGGUACACCAAUACCUAGGUGUAGUUUUCAAUAUAAGGUACACCACUCCUUAGUUGAUGAUAUUUUGGACAUAGGAUCACCACUCCUAAGUCUCCUUACCAAUAUUGGGUAGACCAAUCCCUAUAUGUGUUUUCCAACAUAGGGUACACCACUCCCUAGUUGAUGAUAUUUUAGACAUAGGGUGCAUCACUCCCUAGUCUUCUUACCAGUAUAGGGUACACCAAUCCCUAACUGUGUUUUGCAACAUAGGGUACACCACUCCCUAGUUGAUGAAAGUUUAGGCAUUGGGUUCACCACUCCCUAGUUCCCUUACCUGUAUAGGGUACACGAAUCCCUAGAUUUGUUUUCCAAUAUAGGGUACACCAGUCCCUAGUUAAUGAUAUUUUAGACAUAGGGUACACCACUCCAUAGCCUCCUUACCAGUAUAGGGUACACCAAUCCCUAGCUAUAUUUUCCAACAUAUGGUAUACCACUCCCUAGUUGAUGAUAUUUCAGAUAUAUGGUACAUUACUCCCCAGUUUCCUUACCAGUAUAGGGUACAUUAAUCCCUAACCGUGUUUUCCAACAUAGGGUACGCCACUCCCUAGUUGAUGGUAUUUUAGACAUAGUGUCACCACUGCCUAGUCUCCUUACAAGUGUAGGGUACAUCAAUCCCUUACUGUGCUUUCCAACAUAGGGUACACCACUUACUAGUUGAUGAUAUUUUAGACAUAGGGUACACCACUCGCUAGUCUCCUUACCAUUAUAGGGUACACGAAUCCCUAGCUGUGUUUCCUAACAUAGGGUACACCACUCCCCAGUUGAUGUUAUUUUAGACAUAGGGUACACCAGUCCUUAGUCUCAUUACAAGUAUAGGGGACACCAAUCCCUAUCUUUGUUUUCCAAUAUAGGGUAUACCUAUCUCUAGUUGAUCUGAUCUUAAAUGCAGAGUUCACCACUCCCUGAUAUCUUUGUUAAUAUAGGGUACAUCAUUCUCUCAUCACAUUUCCCUAACAUAAGGUACACCAAUCCUUAGUUGAGGCACCAUUUAGACAAUCAGGGUAUACCAUUCCCAAAGUAUCAUAUUUUCCUAGGGUACACUUAUCCCAACCUUUUAUUGCUUUCAAUAAUGAAGUAGUAUAGAGUUUUGUUACAAAUAACUCAUGAAAUUUUCCUAGUGAAAACUAGAGCAAAACAAUUUCAUUUGUUUGUUUGGUUUGGUAUUUGAGUAGGUUUUACCUCAAGGCAUGGGGUUCGAAAUGACCAAAUGAAUAAGUCUCAAUCCAAAAUAAAGAAAAGAAAAGAAAAAAAGUGAAUCCAAAAUGCAGAAGCGGAUGAAAGGAUAUGGACUGCUCAAGACAUGACUGAAGUCACGAGCAUUGCAUUUCCUGUUUUGAUCAAAAGAAGCCAUAGAAGAAUGAACUAGCACUUGCGGCUAGCAAGCAUUAAGGUUCAGAUCAAAGUUUGCGUGAAGAACUAACCAAGACUCAAGAUCAAUCUUCAAAAUACGUAUAGAUAGGAAUGUUUUAACUCAUAGUUGAUAGGCUUGUUUAGUUUUUUUUGAUUUUGAUUUUGGUGUAAUAAGGAGUUCAGCAAGCAGUAACAGCAUCGACAUUAGUGAAAUCAUGGCAUUUAAGUAGUCCCAGCUACCAAAAUUUCCAGAACUACACUAACCUAAUUCCUUUAUAGCCAAGGAUGUGUAGGCAACCCCGAAAGCAAGGUUUGGUCAAAACUUUUCAAAAUGCUUCCCAUGGAGUGUCAAACAGGAAAUAAUUGGUCGUAAUUGCUCACUUUAUCUUUGCGCGGAAACUCUUCAUAUUCUCGAGAAAAGAGGGGCAGCUGUGAGCGCAUAAUAUUUUCCUCACAUAUGAAAUCACUCCUAAAAAUAUCCCAAAUAAUUUUUUUUACUUUGUAGAAUUUUAAAAGUUUUAUUUGAUUGCAUCUUUAUUUCAUUGGUAGAUCAUUUGCAUCAUUAGGAUUAUUUUAAAACCAUCAGAAAUAUUUUAUUAUUCAUUUUUUGCAUUUUUAGAUGAUAAUCACAUUAUUGGAAUUUAGUUGGCAUGUAGUUGCAUUAGUUAAGCACACAAAAUCACAAAUAUUGCAUUGGUCGUUUUUCUUUGAAUUUUAGUUAGUAAUUCAAUUAAAGCUUAAGGUGAUAAUUAGUUAAUUAUUAGACAAAUUGGAUAAUUAGGUUAGGGUCAAAUUAAAAAUUCAAUUAAAUUGGCCAAGUUUGAAUUAGAAGCAAAAGAAAAGCUGUUGGGCCAAGCCCUGAGGCUCAAACACCUUUAAUAAUCCGCCCAGACGACCCUCAUAUCCGGACCAUAUCCCUUUUAUUACCAAACGACCCCAUUUUGUCCUUAAUCAAUCCCAACCGUCCCUCAAAAUCAAUCCAACGACUCCGAACUGAACUCCAAACCCCUUAAAACUGUCUGAAUGAAUACCCCAAACCCUAAAUACCAAUCCCAAUUCCUCAUCCCUCUCACCCUCUCACCCUUAGCCGCCUACCACACCAAAGAGUAUCUCCGUCGGUGGCUCGUCUCCAAGUCUGCCAAAAUAUCACAAAAUAACCUUUGUUCCCUCCUCUUUCCAAAUCUCUUAGCCUCAUCUCUCGACUCCCUCUUUAUCGAUUCGUAUAGCAGAUCUAAAAAUGACCAUAAACCCUAGUUUGCCUAUUUUUACCUGAUUUUUCAGUGGUUUAUGAACUCUUUUUGGCCACUCCGAUUGCCUCUGAAGCCGCUUCGUCUUCUCCAAAUUUGGCUUGUAAUGAAUAUUUUUCCAUGUAGCAUUGGAUCGCAUGUGAAUUUGGCGGCUUGUGCUCAUGUGACAAUCUCCAUUACAUGCCAGAAUUCUUGUAUUUGCCGGUGUUGGUUUGGCUUUCCGGAUUCCAGCUUCACGGAUAUGUUAAAGGUUAAUCGUGGUAAGAUUUCACUGCUCCAGCCUCUUUAGCUGUUAUGUUUUAUUUGACCAUAAUGACUUUCCAUUCAUGACUAGCUAUGUGACUUCGUACAAGUCAUUUUAAGACCGUUUCUGCUGUGAAAUUGCAUUCGAUUUACUGUUAGUUAAUAUUUCUUUUUUGAGUUGUAAUUUUCUAAGUUCAAGUGUUUGUUGCCUUGUUUAAUUUGCAAAUUGGUUUAGUUGAUUUGUUAGGAUUAAUUGGAGCAAACCUGUUAUUAGGUUGAUAUGAGUAUAGAGAGAGUAAGAGCUUUGAGAUUGGUUAAUUUUCUUUUUCUUCAAUUAAAAAAUGCAAAGGUUCAGUUAUGAUUAUCGGAGUAAGGCCCAAUACUUGUUUCUUUUAAGUCAGUAUAGUUUAAAAGGACGGGGAGCUAUGGGUAAUUUCUUAAUUUAGGGAAUAUUACGGAAAGGUUCUAGAAAAGGGAGAAAAGGACUAGUAUGCAAUAAAAAAACAGAACAUGGCAAGUGUUUAGGGGGCUUAGGGGUAAAUACAGAAGUAAAAGGGGCUGAAAAAUAAGGAAAGAAUAUCUGAAGUGGACAGCUGCCCAAAUCUGUUAAAAAAAUGCAU
Molecule: long non-coding RNA, 10574 nt
Filed under: Nicotiana tabacum (common tobacco)
Lineage: Eukaryota; Viridiplantae; Streptophyta; Magnoliopsida; Solanales; Solanaceae
Description: long non-coding RNA (NTAB_LNC001305)
Source: RNAcentral